CAAAAUAUAUGAUGUCUGUUUAAUAAGGGUGAUUCCAUUAUAAUGAAUAUGUGAGGUUAGGAUGGGAAGAUUUAUUUUUGGACAGUUCCAUUAUUUUUGAAGGUUUAUAUUACAAUUUACUAAAAUGAGAGUGAAUUGGCUGUAUAGAGGAUUUCACUCCCAUCUUACUCUCCCACAUUCUUUUGAAUGGAAUAACCCUAAAGUCAAACAAAAACAUUAAUAAUUUUAAACUGAAAAUUUCAAACAGGCAAAUUAUUUGGUGUUUAAUAAAGAAAAAGUAAUUCUUUUUGGCAAAAUUUUAAUUUCAAGUCAAUUUUUAACAAGUAGCUUUCUUGAUUAGAAUUUUAUUGAAACAAAAUCACUUAUGGAAUGGAAAUGAAUAACACAUGAUGUUUUGUCAUUUGACAAUCAAAACAGGUCUAUUAUUAAAACAUGCGUUACACUUUGUUUUCCAAAUGAACUUGAGUAAAAGUAAAUAUGAAACAAAAUUUAAGUGGGGAAUGUUAGAUUAUUAACAUUACUAAUUAAUGUCUAGAGUAAAUGUUAUUAAUAACUGCAGUCUGAGUCUUGAAAUUAGGCAAGAAUAAUUUAUUUAUUAUAUAUCAUACAUUUAAAUCAAAUAAUCAUGCUUAAAUGCUUGUGUACAUGGCUAACAUGCCCUCACUUAUAAACUACAUUUGUACAUAUGAAUAUACUAACAUAAAUCUUGUACAAGUUAACCAUUGAAUGUCUUAAUAGCUGUAAAAUUUAUAUUAUAUUAUUUAAUUCAAUCAUUAUCUACAUAAAACAUUUCAUUUUCACACAUUCAUAUUUAUAAAUAAUAUGCAAACUUUAUAUUGUCGAAUGUUAUGUUUGGAAGCAUAAUAAAUAUUUAGCUACCUCAAGACAGUUGAAAUUGAUUUUCUAUAAAUAACAUUUUCAAUGUAUGUUUAAUUUUUUACAGUCCAAACAGACCGUAUAUUCCCUAUUAAUCCCAAAUAUGAUACUCAUUUGAUGAAGAAAUAUCUGUUCUUGCAUAUAUAUUUACCAGAGAAUCAUUUGUUAAUUAUCUCCCUUUAAUAGGUUGUGUUUGAGCUAACUCCCUUGAGAACAUGGAGCAUUAUAAUUUUCAGUGCUCAACAUAUUCCCUGACCAGAGGCUUUAGUGGGUCCAUCAUUAAAUAUUUAGGAUCAGUAUAAGUCCAAUAUAUCAACCUUUCACCUUUUUUCUUUGGGUUUUUAAACUUCUAUGAUUGGAAAAAUCACAAAAUAUUUUUGAGAGAUCAUCACAGAGAAAAAAGUUUGAGUUUCAUUGAUAUUUAAUCACUGUUAAUUCAUAUAAAAUUACAUUUUUUUUAAUCAAGUAAUGUACAAAUAAAUUUAACACAGUGCACUUAAAAACUUAUGUUUUCAAUUAUAUUGAUUGUUGCAAGUGAAGAAGGACCAAAGAGUACAACAACCUCCUCUUUGAAGAAAAAACAAAAGGGAGAUUAUAACUUUUAUAUGUAGCAUAUUUAAAGGAUGAUAACUGACCAAUGUAUCUCACAAUGAAACACAAAAAUUAGAUUAGAAACUACUGUCAAAUACACCAGCCUUUUAAAAACAAAUUCACAUCAGAUUUUUUCCAUCAUAAAAAAAGUCAACUUUUUAUCUGAACACUUGGUCAUUACCACAUGUAUCAUAACAUUAUAGAGCUUUUGCUGAAGACUUAAGUUUGAUUUCACAAUGUUACAGCAAUUUAGGUUUUAAGAAAUUUCUCAGUUCCCUUAAGGGCCAAAAAUGCCAUUGCACAAUGAAGAGCAAAGUAAAGUUAUGAGUUUUAAAAUGGAAUUUUUACAUUCAUCCCAUUAACAUUACAACUAUGAAUUAUAUUUAAAAAACUGAAAGGAAGUCAUUUUAAAUGCAUUUUGCGUAAUACUUCCGAAGUACUCCAAUGUUUAAAUUGUACUUCUCCUUGCUCAAGCUGGGCAGGGAAUUUUUCUGCCCUUUGAGGAAUCAGUAGAGACUGUAUUUCACUUUGUGAUCACUUUUUCAUCAAAUGCUCUAUACAUAUAUUAAAGAUGAGUUUGUUGCUUUACCAAAAUAUUUUAUAUUGAUCAAAAUGUAGAACAUACUUAAUUUUAUAGCCUGGCAGCUUGUUGAAAAUUAUUUUGCUUAGCAGAGUUAUUUGACAAAUAAUUUUAUAUAGAAUUUAAAAGAAAUGCCAAAUGAAAUUUAAUGGGUACUCACUGUUUUAUUACCGUUUCCACUUUCUACAGUAUCAAGGCUCAGUGAAAAUGAAUUUGUAUAGGUAUUCAUCAUAUUAUACCCUUUAAACCAGACCUUUUUUCUCAGAGUUUGGGCAAGAACCGUACAGAUCUGUAAUAUCUAAAUUUGGACAAGAACCGUACAGUCCUGUAAUAUCUAAAUUUGGACAAGAACCUUACAGUCCUGUAAUAUCUAAAUUUGGACAAGAACCUUACAGUCCUGUAAAAUCUAAAUUUGGAC
RNAcentral lists this long non-coding RNA (2465 nucleotides) under Mytilus galloprovincialis (Mediterranean mussel). Lineage: Eukaryota; Metazoa; Mollusca; Bivalvia; Mytilida; Mytilidae. The record is from RNAcentral.